This 367-nucleotide long non-coding RNA is filed under the name Nicotiana benthamiana. Its description in RNAcentral is "long non-coding RNA (NBEN_LNC020488)". The record is from RNAcentral. Lineage: Eukaryota; Viridiplantae; Streptophyta; Magnoliopsida; Solanales; Solanaceae.
UGGAGUAGGACUAGGUAGGUCUGGAAGACUCAUGUUUCCUUUCUGUUCAAAUGAAUCACUUGACUUUGUAGCUGAAGCAAAUCUAGAUCCAGAAUCCAGGUUAAUUGUAUAUCUAUUACUGGUAAAGGAUCCCAGGUUCUGCACCCUUUGUAGCUGAAGCAAGUCUAGAUCCAGAAUCCAUGUUAAUUGUAUAUCUAUUACUGGUAAAGGAUCCCAGGUUCUGCACCAAAGAUGAGCCUAAAUUCCGGCUGUUGGACUGUGUAUUAUGACCACAGCCAUCAUUUAUCUGGCACAUUGCGCUUCCACGUGAAUUCUGACUUCCAUGAUCUGUAGCAGGACGACAAUUAUCAUUUGCAUUUCCUCUUUC